AACCACUCACGCCUGGCGUGGUAUUGGGGCACGCGGUCUCCGCGGCCCUCAAAAUUAGUGGCGGUGCCGGUGGGCUCUAAGCGUAGUACAUACUCCCGUUAUACAGUUCCCCCGGUGGCUCGCCAGAACCCCCAAUUUUUUACA
This 144-nucleotide unclassified non-coding RNA is filed under the name uncultured Helotiales. Its description in RNAcentral is "sequence contains ITS2". Lineage: Eukaryota; Fungi; Ascomycota; Leotiomycetes; Helotiales. The record is from RNAcentral.